Molecule: ribosomal RNA, 205 nt
Filed under: uncultured bacterium
Lineage: Bacteria
Description: partial 16S ribosomal RNA
Rfam family: Bacterial small subunit ribosomal RNA
Source: RNAcentral
UACGGAGGGGGCUAGCGUUGUUCGGAAUUACUGGGCGUAAAGCGCGCGUAGGCGGACCUGCAAGUCGGGGGUGAAAGCCCGAGGCUCAACCUCGGAACUGCCUUCGAUACUGCGGGUCUCGAGUCCGGGAGAGGUGAGUGGAAUUCCUAGUGUAGAGGUGAAAUUCGUAGAUAUUAGGAAGAACACCAGUGGCGAAGGCGGCUAC